GAUGAACGCUGGCGGCGUGCCUAAUACAUGCAAGUCGAGCGAACGGACGAGAAGCUUGCUUCUCUGAUGUUAGCGGCGGACGGGUGAGUAACACGUGGAUAACCUACCUAUAAGACUGGGAUAACUUCGGGAAACCGGAGCUAAUACCGGAUAAUAUUUUGAACCGCAUGGUUCAAAAGUGAAAGACGGUCUUGCUGUCACUUAUAGAUGGAUCCGCGCUGCAUUAGCUAGUUGGUAAGGUAACGGCUUACCAAGGCAACGAUGCAUAGCCGACCUGAGAGGGGGAUCGGCCACACUGGAGCUGAGACACGGUCCAGACUCCUACGGGAGGCAGCAGUAGGGAAUCUUCCGCAAUGGGCGAAAGCCUGACGGAGCAACGCCGCGUGAGUGAUGAAGGUCUUCGGAUCGUAAAACUCUGUUAUUAGGGAAGAACAUAUGUGUAAGUAACUGUGCACAUCUUGACGGUACCUAAUCAGAAAGCCACGGCUAACUACGUG
Molecule: ribosomal RNA, 497 nt
Filed under: uncultured bacterium
Lineage: Bacteria
Description: partial 16S ribosomal RNA
Rfam family: Bacterial small subunit ribosomal RNA
Source: RNAcentral